AUACGGAGGAUGCGAGCGUUAUCCGGAUUUAUUGGGUUUAAAGGGUGCGUAGGCUGUGCGUUAAGUCAGGGGUGAAAUGCCGUCGCUCAACGACGGAGCUGCCCUUGAUACCGGCGUGCUGGAGUACGGAUGCCGUUGGAGGAAUGAGUGGUGUAGCGGUGAAAUGCUUAGAUAUCACUCAGAACACCGAUUGCGAAGGCAUCUGACGAAUCCGUCACUGACGCCGAGGCACGAAAGCGUGGGGAUAGAACAGGAUUAGAUACCCUGGUAUUCCACGCCGUAAACGAUGAUGACUAACCGUCGGCGAUAGACAGCCGGUGGCCAAGCGAAAGCGAUAAGUCAUCCACCUGGGGAGUACGUCGGCAACGAUGAAACUCAAAGGAAUUGACGAGG
Molecule: ribosomal RNA, 393 nt
Filed under: uncultured bacterium
Lineage: Bacteria
Description: partial 16S ribosomal RNA
Rfam family: Bacterial small subunit ribosomal RNA
Source: RNAcentral